RNAcentral lists this ribosomal RNA (332 nucleotides) under uncultured Desulfovibrio sp. RNAcentral describes it as "bacterial SSU rRNA". It matches the Rfam family "Bacterial small subunit ribosomal RNA", at positions 355 to 679 of the family's 1533-position model. The record is from RNAcentral. Lineage: Bacteria; Pseudomonadati; Thermodesulfobacteriota; Desulfovibrionia; Desulfovibrionales; Desulfovibrionaceae.
UGGGGAAUAUUGCGCAAUGGGCGAAAGCCUGACGCAGCGACGCCGCGUGAGGGAUGAAGGUCUUCGGAUCGUAAACCUCUGUCAGAAGGGAAGAACGUACUGUGUGCUAAUCAGCGCAGUAGUGACGGUACCUUCAAAGGAAGCACCGGCUAACUCCGUGCCAGCAGCCGCGGUAAUACGGAGGGUGCAAGCGUUAAUCGGAAUCACUGGGCGUAAAGCGCACGUAGGCUGUCGUGUAAGUCAGGGGUGAAAGCCCACGGCUCAACCGUGGAAUUGCCCUUGAUACUGCAUGACUGGAAUCCGGGAGAGGGUGGCGGAAUUCCAGGUGUAGG